This 64-nucleotide transfer RNA is filed under the name Aeromonas salmonicida. RNAcentral's name for it is "tRNA-Lys". It matches the Rfam family "tRNA", at positions 5 to 66 of the family's 71-position model. From Rfam's summary of the family: Transfer RNA (tRNA) molecules are approximately 80 nucleotides in length. Their secondary structure includes four short double-helical elements and three loops (D, anti-codon, and T loops). RNAcentral also lists the same sequence under 1 other name. Lineage: Bacteria; Pseudomonadati; Pseudomonadota; Gammaproteobacteria; Aeromonadales; Aeromonadaceae. The record is from RNAcentral.
CGUUAGCUCAGUCGGUAGAGCAGUUGACUUUUAAUCAAUUGGUCGCUGGUUCGAAUCCAGCACG